Molecule: long non-coding RNA, 233 nt
Organism: Drosophila novamexicana
Lineage: Eukaryota; Metazoa; Arthropoda; Insecta; Diptera; Drosophilidae
Exons: 3
Source: RefSeq, a predicted model, not a curated record
AAUUUUGUUUUCCUCUUGCUACGGCUACUGAGAUCUGCAAACAAUCGAUGAAGUCAAUCUAAUUGAUUGAUGUGGACAUAUAAGGGCCAGACCUUUGGAUUGUUAUAUAAGGCAUUCGCCAGGUAGCCAUAAGAAUAACCUGCAGGAAAAUUACAAUGGAUUUACCUUUAACCACAAAGGCAAUGGCAAAAAACACAGCCAACGAUCCGAAAAAGAAAAAGAGUCCCACCAUU